RNAcentral lists this ribosomal RNA (131 nucleotides) under Pelodiscus sinensis (Chinese soft-shelled turtle). RNAcentral describes it as "5.8S ribosomal RNA (ENSPSIG00000020255.1)". It matches the Rfam family "5.8S ribosomal RNA", at positions 1 to 123 of the family's 154-position model. Rfam says of the family: 5.8S ribosomal RNA (5.8S rRNA) is a component of the large subunit of the eukaryotic ribosome. It is transcribed by RNA polymerase I as part of the 45S precursor that also contains 18S and 28S rRNA. The record is from RNAcentral. Lineage: Eukaryota; Metazoa; Chordata; Testudines; Trionychidae.
AACUCUUAGCGGUGGAUCACUCGGCUCGUGCGUCGAUGAAGAACGCAGCUAGCUGCGAGAAUUAAUGUGAAUUGCAGGACACAUUGAUCAUCGACACUUCGAACGCCCCAUCUCUCCCCUGCACAGCAUAG